CUGACCGUGCAAAGGUAGCAUAAUCACUUGUUCUCCAAAUAAGGACUUGUAUGAAUGGCCACACGAGGGUUUUACUGUCUCUUACUUCCAAUCCAUGGAAUUUGACCUUCCCGUGAAGAGGCGGGAAUAAAAAAAUAAGACGAGAACACCCUAUGGAGCUUUAAUUAACUAUUCCAAAAGUUAAACAAUUCAACCACAAAGGGAUAAAACAUAACUUAACAUGGACUAGCAAUUUCGGUUGGGGUGACCUCGGAGUACAAAAAAACCUCCGAGUGAUUUUAAUCUAGACAAACCAGUCAAAAUAACCAUAACAUCACUUAUUGAUCCAAAAUUUUGAUCAACGGAACAAGUUACCCUAGGGAUAACAGCGCAAUCCUAUUCUAGAGUUCCUUAUCGACAAUAGGGUUUACGACCCUCGAUGUUUGGAUCAGGACACCCAAAUGGUGCAACCGCUAUUAAAGGUUCGUUUGUUCAACGAUUAAAGUCCUACGUGAUC
This 496-nucleotide ribosomal RNA is filed under the name Sus scrofa (pig). RNAcentral describes it as "partial 16S ribosomal RNA". It matches the Rfam family "Bacterial large subunit ribosomal RNA", at positions 1942 to 2605 of the family's 2925-position model. Lineage: Eukaryota; Metazoa; Chordata; Mammalia; Artiodactyla; Suidae. The record is from RNAcentral.